CGUGCCAGAUAAUAAGGUGAAAGAAAAAUUGUGAAAAAGAAAAGCUAACGAAAAGAAUAAAAAAUUAAAUCGAAUUCAACUCAGAGUAAUAUCUACAGGGUGAGUAAAACGAAAGCUUCGGAAGGGGUUUGACUUGUCGUUAGUUGCCGCGUGCCCGGCGGAAAACCCUUCGAUCGAAGAGAUUUUAUUGUCAGGCGGAUCCGCGAUCGAAAUACCGUCCCAAAUGUGACGUCGCAGGAAGAGAAUCGGAGCUGUACGAAUCGUACGACGGACGACGCUGGCGACAAAUAAUAACCAAUCAGGAGCCCGGCGUCGCCCCACCGAAUAUUGAUCAGUCCGAGGAUUUAUCGAAAUUCCGUCUCUUCUGUGCUCGACCGUCGAUCCGACUGCGCGAUCCGAGUGGCUCCGGUUCGCCUGUCGUCUAGUGCUGUUCUUUUCUUAUUCCUCCCCCCCCCCCCCCAGUAUUUCUUCAACUUAUUGUUAGCUUCAUUCUGUGUUUCUUUCUAUUUUUAAUUCCCCUAUCGCUUCUUGCAUUUAAAAAUUUGUGUGCUUCUGUGACCGCAUUCUUCUUCCUAUAAGGUGGCACUUCCUGCGACGGUGAGGGCGUUGGGACCUUCAGGGGUGCGCAGGGGUGACGACGUUUCGAAGACGGACGCUGCACACGGCUUACGUCAACGAGCGAACGCAGCAGCGGCGGCGGCGGCAUUCUCGUAGUCCAAAAGAAGGUUCGAGGCUCGCGAUUACGAUUAGAGAUUUCCGCAGCAGCCUAUAAACGUUGGCGCAGGGAAUUACAGAGCAUCGAAUGGCGAAGGGGGUGGGGCGUGAGGCCAGGGCUCGGUGAGGUACAGAGAAAACGAUCAGGAAGAUGACGACGCAGAUUAUGACGAUCGCCAGCAGAAUCGCCACCGCCACGAUGAUCACGAUCAACAAGAGAUCUCCGUCGAGCCUCUGGUACCACGGGAGGUUACCUGUCGAA
Molecule: long non-coding RNA, 976 nt
Organism: Athalia rosae (coleseed sawfly)
Lineage: Eukaryota; Metazoa; Arthropoda; Insecta; Hymenoptera; Athaliidae
Exons: 4
Source: RefSeq, a predicted model, not a curated record